RNAcentral lists this ribosomal RNA (324 nucleotides) under uncultured bacterium. RNAcentral describes it as "bacterial SSU rRNA". It matches the Rfam family "Bacterial small subunit ribosomal RNA", at positions 18 to 344 of the family's 1533-position model. The record is from RNAcentral.
CAUGGCUCAGAUUGAACGCUGGCGGCAUGCCUUACACAUGCAAGUCGAACGGCAGCACGGAGCUUGCUCUGGUGGCGAGUGGCGAACGGGUGAGUAAUAUAUCGGAACGUACCCUAGAGUGGGGGAUAACGUAGCGAAAGUUACGCUAAUACCGCAUACGAUCUAAGGAUGAAAGUGGGGGAUCGCAAGACCUCAUGCUCGUGGAGCGGCCGAUAUCUGAUUAGCUAGUUGGUAGGGUAAAAGCCUACCAAGGCAUCGAUCAGUAGCUGGUCUGAGAGGACGACCAGCCACACUGGAACUGAGACACGGUCCAGACUCCUACGG